CCUUCGGGGUACACGAGCGGCGAACGGGUGAGUAACACGUGGGUAAUCUGCCCUGCACUCUGGGAUAAGCCUGGGAAACUGGGUCUAAUACCGGAUAUGACAACCUUGGGCAUCCAGGGUUGUGGAAAGUUCCGGCGGUGCAGGAUGGGCCCGCGGCCUAUCAGCUUGUUGGUGGGGUAAUGGCCUACCAAGGCGACGACGGGUAGCCGGCCUGAGAGGGCGACCGGCCACACUGGGACUGAGACACGGCCCAGACUCCUACGGGAGGCAGCAGUGGGGAAUAUUGCGCAAUGGGCGAAAGCCUGACGCAGCGACGCCGCGUGAGGGAUGACGGCCUUCGGGUUGUAAACCUCUUUCAGUGCCGACGAAGCGAAAGUGACGGUAGGUACAGAAGAAGCACCGGCCAACUACGUGCCAGCAGCCGCGGUAAUACGUAGGGUGCGAGCGUUGUCCGGAAUUAUUGGGCGUAAAGAGCUCGUAGGCGGUUUGUUGCGUCGGCUGUGAAAACUCGGGGCUUAACUCUGAGCUUGCAGUCGAUACGGGCAGACUUGAGUUCGGCAGGGGAGACUGGAAUUCCUGGUGUAGCGGUGAAAUGCGCAGAUAUCAGGAGGAACACCGGUGGCGAAGGCGGGUCUCUGGGCCGAUACUGACGCUGAGGAGCGAAAGCGUGGGGAGCGAACAGGAUUAGAUACCCUGGUAGUCCACGCCGUAAACGUUGGGCGCUAGGUGUGGGGGUCAUUCCACGGCCUCCGUGCCGCAGCUAACGCAUUAAGCGCCCCGCCUGGGGAGUACGGCCGCAAGGCUAAAACUCAAAGGAAUUGACSGGGGCCCGCACAAGCGGCGGAGCAUGUGG
RNAcentral lists this ribosomal RNA (853 nucleotides) under Pseudonocardiaceae bacterium AL50643. RNAcentral's name for it is "bacterial SSU rRNA". It matches the Rfam family "Bacterial small subunit ribosomal RNA", at positions 77 to 944 of the family's 1533-position model. The record is from RNAcentral. Lineage: Bacteria; Bacillati; Actinomycetota; Actinomycetes; Pseudonocardiales; Pseudonocardiaceae.